RNAcentral lists this unclassified non-coding RNA (1425 nucleotides) under Homarus americanus (American lobster). RNAcentral describes it as "adenosine deaminase-like, transcript variant X1". Lineage: Eukaryota; Metazoa; Arthropoda; Malacostraca; Decapoda; Nephropidae. The record is from RNAcentral.
ACCCCUGACUGAGCGUACUGCGAGGCGGUUUCAUUGGACUCGAGUCACAGGCAGCAACAGCAACACUACAGCCAGUUUAAGACAAACACUGGUGCUGUAAACAUGCGUGUCAUCCACGAACCCCUCAAACACGGACCUAAAUGCCGGGUGCAGCUCCAUGUUCACCUGGACGGCUGUAUCCGCCAUGAGACCAUCUGGGAAGUCAUGAGAAGAAAGGGCCUGAAGCUCCCUGGCAGUGGUUCACUUGCAGACCUCAAGUUGGCUCUGCAGGUGCAGGAACCUGAAGAUCUUUUAUUCUUUCUGAGUGGCUUUAAAAUUUUUUUGCCUGCCAUUAAAGGAGAUCUUGCCGUCAUAGAAAGAAUAGCUCAUGAAUUUGUCGAAGAUCAGGCUAAGGAAUAUGUUGCCUACUGUGAGGCUCGAUUUUGUCCCCAUUUGCUUCUCCCAAAUGAUACAACUCAAUUCAGUGUGGUAAAAUGCUUGAAGGGGAAGUCUCGUGUAAAUGGUACUACUGAUACAACAACUGAAGAUGGUCCUGUCAAAGAUGGUGAGGUCACUGUAGAUUCUAUUUUAAAUGCUGUUCUGAAAGGGUUUUCACGUGGAGAGGAAGAUUUUGGCACCAAGGUUCGAGUCAUUCUAUGCUGUAUACAUGGGACUUCAGAAUGGUAUUGGGAUAUUCUCCGUUUGUGUGAGGAAUACCGUAGUAAAGGAGUUGUUGGUAUUGAUUUGGCUGGAUAUCACGAAUGUUCUGACUGGUCUACAGAAGAUCAGUCAUUAAAGGAAGACCGUGUCCUUGUAGAAGUAUUUGAAGCAGCAAGAGAGAAAGGGAUUCAUCGCACUAUUCAUGCUGGAGAAGCAGGACCUGCUAGUACUGUCAAAUUGGCUGUGGAAGCAUUAGGUGCCGAGAGGAUCGGCCAUGGUUACCGUGUAGUAGAAGAUGAGAGUAUAUAUCAAAUGUGCUUAAAGGAGAAUAUCCAUUUUGAAGUUUGUCCUCACUCCUCUUAUCUCACAGGAUCUAUUGGUUCUCUAAAAACCAAAUCAAAGAGACAUCCUGUCCUCAGGUUUGCUGAGGAUGAAGCAAGCUUCAGCAUCAACACUGAUGACCCAACCAUCACUAACACACAGCUGAUGGACGAAUACAAACUCCUUACCGAGUGGGGCUUUACAGAGGCACACUUCACACGUGCGAACUUUGAGGCUGCCAAUCACUGCUUUUUGCCUACAGUUGAGAAGCAAGUACUUAUUCAAAGUUUAAGGAAUGCUUAUGGAUGCAUGUAGAUGUUCUGGAGUCUGAGGAUGAGGUGUCUUAAUGGUAAAGUGGUCUCACUUCAUCUCAAAAAGAAUUUCCAAGCUGCAAUUCAUUCAUUCCUGCCAAUAGAGGAGAAGAAGGCUUUGGUGGAUCAACUUCAUGAAGCUUAUGGUAUUGUC